RNAcentral lists this ribosomal RNA (1051 nucleotides) under uncultured bacterium. Its description in RNAcentral is "bacterial SSU rRNA". It matches the Rfam family "Bacterial small subunit ribosomal RNA", at positions 1 to 1085 of the family's 1533-position model. The record is from RNAcentral.
GGGGGUAAGAAGGGCAGUGAUUAGAGUUUGAUCCUGGCUCAGGAUGAACGCUAGCUACAGGCUUAACACAUGCAAGUCGAGGGGUAACGAUAUUGAAAGCUUGCUUUCGAUAGGCGACGACCGGCGCACGGGUGAGUAACGCGUAUCCAACCUGCCCAUAACUAAGGGAUAAUCCGUAGAAAUGCGGUCUAAUACCUUAUGUGUUCCGACGAGGACAUCUGAAUUGGAAUAAAGAUUUAUCGGUUAUGGAUGGGGAUGCGUCUGAUUAGAUUGUUGGCGGGGCAACGGCCCACCAAGUCUACGAUCAGUAGGGGUUCUGAGAGGAAGGUCCCCCACAUUGGAACUGAGACACGGUCCAAACUCCUACGGGAGGCAGCAGUGAGGAAUAUUGGUCAAUGGGCGAGAGCCUGAACCAGCCAAGUAGCGUGCAGGACGACGGCCCUAUGGGUUGUAAACUGCUUUUGUAUGGGGAUAAAGUGCUCCACGUGUGGAGUUUUGUAGGUACCAUACGAAUAAGGACCGGCUAAUUCCGUGCCAGCAGCCGCGGUAAUACGGAAGGUCCGGGCGUUAUCCGGAUUUAUUGGGUUUAAAGGGAGCGUACGCCGUGGAUUAAGUGUGUUGUGAAAUGUACGCGCUCAACGUCUGACUUGCAGCGCAUACUGGUCCACUUGAGUGCGCACAACGCGGGCGGAAUUUGUCGUGUAGCGGUGAAAUGCUUAGAUAUGACGAAGAACCCCGAUUGCGAGCAGCUCGCGGGAGCGCAACUGACGCUGAAGCUCGAAGUGCGGUUAUCGAACAGGAUUAGAUACCCUGGUAGUCCGCACGUAACGAUGGAUGCCCGCUUUCGGUCAUUAGACCGUGAGGCAGUGAAACAUUAGCAUCCACUGGGGAGUACGCCGCACGGUGAGCUCAAGAUGACGGGCCGCAAGCGGAGAACUGUGGUAAUCAUGAUCCGAGACUACGCCUGAUUGCAAUGAAGAUCGAUGUGAGCCUAGGACUCUUGAAGGUUCCAGGUGUCUCACCUUGGCCGUGAGGUCGCCUAAGCUUAACG